Molecule: RNA transcript, 2719 nt
Organism: Schistocerca gregaria
Lineage: Eukaryota; Metazoa; Arthropoda; Insecta; Orthoptera; Acrididae
Exons: 7
Source: RefSeq, a predicted model, not a curated record
AAUUGCAUUUAAAAUAUUCUUAUUUGAAAUAGCCUUAUAUUUUUGUCAAGUCAGUUAGUAUUGCAUCUUUGUUUAUUUUUUCUUAUAACAUUUAAAAUGAAUGAUGCUGCUUAUUCAUUUUCUCUGACUACCUUCUCUCCUUCUGGAAAGUUGGUUCAGAUCGAAUAUGCUUUACAGGCCGUCGCACAAGGGGCUACUUCCUUAGGCAUAAAAGCCAAGGAUGGUGUCGUUAUUGCUUGCGAAAAAAAGCUCCAUCAGCUAAUAAUCGAAGACAGUGUUCAAAAGAUAGAAAGUGUAACAGAUAACAUCGGAAUGGUCUAUUCAGGCAUGGGCCCAGACUUUCGCGUUUUAGUUCGAAAAGCUCGUAAGAAGGCACAGAUUUACUAUCGAUUUCACAAAGAGCCUAUUUCAGUUAUUGGUCUUGUCAGGGAAGUAGCUGCUAUUAUGCAGGAAUAUACACAAACGGGCGGAGUAAGGCCCUUUGGGGUUUCCAUAAUGUUUGCUGGCUGGGAUGAUCUGGGACCACAGCUGUACCAGGUUGAUCCCUCUGGAUCAUAUUUUCCAUGGAAAGCAUCUGCCAUUGGAAAAGGAAUGGUUCAAGCUAAGGGGUUUCUUGAGAAGAGGUACCAUGAGGACAUUGAGGUUGAAGAGGCUAUCCACAGAGCACUGUUAACUUUGAAAGAAGGGUUUGAUGGUCAGAUUACAAAGCAAAACGUAGAAGUUGCUGUUAUACGUGAAGACCGAAUUUUUACAUCAUUAACUCCUCUCCAAAUCAAAGAUUAUUUGGAAGACGAUGUCAACUAACCCCAGAUGUUCAGAGUUCAAUAGACCUGACAGAAGUUUGUACUUACACAAAACAAAUCAUAAACGAAUACAAUGUUUAACACAAAUUUCCCUCAACGUUGUACCAAAUAAUUAUUUAAGAUUUGUUUCUAACUUGUGUUUUCUAAGCGCAUAAAAUUGUGUUCUUAGUUCAUACUAAGGUAAAAAUCUUUACUCACAUCUCUACAAAAAUCUUAAGCAUUUUAGGUAUAAUCAUAGAUCAAUUGAGGACAAAAUAGCAAAUUGUUUUUGCGAAGUACAGCUUAAUAUCAAAUCUGUAGAAUUGUAAAUUUAGUUAACAGUCAAAUUCUACUACAUAUAACAAAAAAAAACCUUGUUCAACUCAUAUUAAUCUGUAACUCUGAAGCAUUCAUAUAGAGGUGCAGAGCAAUCCAGUUCGUUUAGUUUUGGAUCACAAAAUGAAGUCUAGUACAUCCAAGUUAUUUACGUGCAUGCUCAUUCUGGCUUAUAUAACCAAAUAUGUUAUAGCGGCCGCGGACAAUGCUGGAGUGUCUAGUCUACCUGUUGUUUCAGACAAUGCAUCUGCUACCAGUGCAACCCAACCCACAAGUUCAGCUAACUUACCCCAACAACCGAGUAAUACUACUGUACAGCAAAAUUCUAGCCAGCCAGAACGUCCUGGAAGCGAUAGCCAAGUUAAACAACAAGUACCAGUACUAGAUCCCAAAAAUCCGCAUCCAUUUGGAGGUUUGGUGCCAAUUUUAGAAUGUGUUGAUUUUGAAGCAGAUGGAACAACUGUUGCCUACUUCGGAUAUAAUAAUCCCAACCCCAACGAAGUAAUGGUGCAAACGGGAAAAUACAACCAAUUUACCCCUGAGCCUGAGGCUCGAAGCCAAACAGUCAUAUUUUCCUCUGGUAGGUCUUUCCCUUACCCUGUAUCGGCUUUCCAUGUCAGGUCUUCACAAAAAAGCUAUUACUGGCAGCUUAAUGGCUAUCAAGUUUUAGUUGAUGAAAAUUCCAAUCGAUGUAGGAAAGAUUGGAUUUGCAUUUACAUCGAUCUCUCACAUCCUUUGAAUGUUGAUCAACAGGUAUUAGCACGUAUCCUGUCCUCCACAUCUAUUAUCAUGGGUAUUGGAGAGAAUCACAUAAACUUGCACACAGCAAAACAAUCAUCUAGCCUCACUCGUAUUGUUGUUAAUGUAACGCGGAGUGCUGAGAAUGAUGAUUCCGUCAUUGAUCCUUCCGAAAGUGUUAGCAGAUUGUUCAGGGACAACAAUUUAUACUCGCAAUACAUAACGUUGUUAAGAGGCUCUUCACACAUGAAUCCAGUGUUAGUUCGCCCUAGUUCUACUGGACUCGAGAAAAUAGGAGUUGAAGUGGGGAAGCCAAUGUCCAUCUUUGAAUCUAAUAUUGAAACAAAUCCCAAUAGUGCUAAUAAUAAUGCAGGCAAUAGCGUUGUCACAUCUAAUUCCUCAGGUAAUAGCAAUAAUACAUAUGGUAAAAACCCUGCUUCCCCAUACAGUAGUGAUAGCAACGUUAAAAAUGGUAGCAUGUCUGCUUUUUCAAACAACAGCACAAGUGGAAAUAAUACGAACUAUAGUCCUGGCAAUUCUAAAAUACCUACAACUGCAACCCCUUCUACUUCACAGAACGGAAUAGUUCUUUCGAACUCUGUAGAUGCUAACACUCCAAUAACAAGUGCGAAUACUGAUGAUCCGGUAAAAAGUAAUAGUGCCCAAGGCAUUACAACUACUACAGGUACUACAGGCACUACAUUAGUAGCAUCAUCUGUGGCUGGUGGCUUCACAUAUGGAGGUCUUAAAAUUUUAAUUGCCAGCGUGUUUGCGAAUAUUCUGUUGCAGCAGUUGUGCAUAUAGGACAGAUUUAACUGAUAAAAACGUUAGUAGAGCUUGACUUUUCUACAUAAAUCCAGAAA